Non-coding RNA from Potamilus streckersoni, 75 nucleotides. The record is from the annotation of a GenBank genome assembly. NCBI's taxonomy places the organism in Eukaryota, Metazoa, Mollusca, Bivalvia, Unionida, Unionidae.
GUCUCCGGUGGCUUAGUGGUUAGAGCGUCCGUCUCAUAAACAGGGAAGUCGCGGGUUAGAGCGUCGGCCAAGUCA